GACGAACGCUGGCGGCGUGCUUAACACAUGCAAGUCGAACGGAAAGGCCUGCUUUCCCUUGUGGAUUGCGGGUACUCGAGUGGCGAACGGGUGAGUAACACGUGAGUGAUCUGCCCCCAACUUGGGUAUAAGCCUGGGAAACUGGGUCUAAUUCCCGAUAGGACUGCAGGGUGGUGCCUGUGGUGGAAAACGAUUUUCUAGUGGUUGGGGAUGAGCUCGCGGCCUAUCAGCUUGUUGGUAGGGUAAUGGCCUACCAAGGCGGCGACGGGUAGCCGGCCUGAGAGGGUGGACGGCCACAUUGGGACUGAGAUACGGCCCAGACUCCUACGGGAGGCAGCAGUGGGGAAUAUUGCACAAUGGGCGGAAGCCUGAUGCAGCGACGCCGCGUGGGGGAUGACGGCCUUCGGGUUGUAAACUCCUUUCGACCGCGAGGAAGCCACCUGGUUGGAAGGGUGGUGACGGUAGUGGUAGAAGAAGCACCGGCUAACUACGUG
RNAcentral lists this ribosomal RNA (494 nucleotides) under uncultured bacterium. RNAcentral's name for it is "partial 16S ribosomal RNA". It matches the Rfam family "Bacterial small subunit ribosomal RNA", at positions 28 to 507 of the family's 1533-position model. The record is from RNAcentral.